Molecule: long non-coding RNA, 707 nt
Filed under: Calidris pygmaea (Spoon-billed sandpiper)
Lineage: Eukaryota; Metazoa; Chordata; Aves; Charadriiformes; Scolopacidae
Description: lncRNA (ENSCPGG00000004184.1)
Source: RNAcentral
GAAAUUAUAUCGUGCUCUGUAGAAAUUUACAUUCCUGUCAAAAUACUGUUGCUUUAGUAAAUAUUUUACUUUUUCUCAUUAUUUGUUAUUGACUGUGACAGCCAGAGGCAGGGUUACCUAACUCUGUGAAAAGAGCCUGUAAUGCUGAAGAUUCCUUACCUGCAUCACCACUAAAAACAGCCAGAAGCAGAGGAUCGUCAUAUGAAUUACCCCUGAAGUCUGCAGUACCUGAUUACGUAGCUGAUUCUAAUAAACCACAGUCUCCUGUAUCUAAAAGAGGAACAAAUAAUACAUUAGCAGAUGUUGAAGCACUAUGCAAAAGUCCUGCCAUGUCUUUGGAUGCUGAGGAUGAUCAUGAGUCUCUUGGAUCACCUCUUCUUUUGGAGGAAGCAAAAAGUCCUCCAGUACAUAAAUUACACUUGGAUGACCAAAAUAAUCCUGCUGCAGUGAAGAGCCCUGUGGAAGUUGAAAAUUUGGGAGGACCUCAGACUGGGAGAGAUGAGCAGGUUGUUCUCAAGCAAGGAAUAGAACGUGUUGCUGCGUCAUCUGUACAGAAAGAGAAGGUUUUCUCUUCGAUUGUCUUAGCAGCUGUAGCAACAGGAACGCAUGGAAAAAGGUUUGUUUUGAAGCAUAAUAUAGAACAUAAUUUGCUAGUGAAAUAACCCAGUCCUGAGUACUGGAGCAGCAUCCUUUUAUCCGUGCACAUG